AACAUCAGAAGCGAUUCAUUAUUUUUAUAAACGAAGUUCGCUUUGGGCUGCUAAUAGAAAACAAAAUCUUAAUCUUAAUCUCCUUUUGUUGAUAUAUCUUCUCUCAAUUUAGUUUUAAGUCAUUCCUGCUGUUGAGAUGGAAUCCAACAAUAUUGUGGUAAAAACUGAAACUGAUAAUAACUGUGUGGCUGGAACUGACAGUUUCAAUAAACUAGAAAUCACAAGUGCGAAGACUGGAUUCGCAGACGAAGAUGAAUGCCAUAUACAAUCAGGGGAAUCAAUAGCGAUCAA
Aedes aegypti (yellow fever mosquito) is the source of this 291-nucleotide long non-coding RNA. RefSeq lists it as uncharacterized. The record is from RefSeq and is a predicted model, not a curated record. Lineage: Eukaryota; Metazoa; Arthropoda; Insecta; Diptera; Culicidae. The transcript is spliced from 2 exons.